AGCAGUGGGGAAUUUUGGACAAUGGGGGAAACCCUGAUCCAGCCAUCCCGCGUGUGCGAUGAAGGCCUUCGGGUUGUAAAGCACUUUUGGCAGGGAAGAAACGGCGCCGGAUAAUACCUGGCGUCACUGACGGUACCUGCAGAAUAAGCACCGGCUAACUACGUGCCAGCAGCCGCGGUAAUACGUAGGGUGCAAGCGUUAAUCGGAAUUACUGGGCGUAAAGCGUGCGCAGGCGGUUUGGAAAGAAAGGUGUGAAAUCCCAGAGCUUAACUUUGGAACUGCACUUUUAACUGCCAAGCUAGAGUAUGUCAGAGGGGGGUAGAAUUCCACGUGUAGCAGUGAAAUGCGUAGAGAUGUGGAGGAAUACCGAUGGCGAAGGCAGCCCCCUGGGAUAAUACUGACGCUCAUGCACGAAAGCGUGGGGAGCAAACAGGAUUAGAUACCCUGGUAGUCCACGCCCUAAACGAUGUCAACUAGCUGUUG
RNAcentral lists this ribosomal RNA (483 nucleotides) under uncultured bacterium. Its description in RNAcentral is "bacterial SSU rRNA". It matches the Rfam family "Bacterial small subunit ribosomal RNA", at positions 350 to 825 of the family's 1533-position model. The record is from RNAcentral.